GGUUAAGUGAAUAAGGGCGCACGGUGGAUGCCUUGGCACUAGGAGCCGAUGAAGGACGGGACUAACACCGAUAUGCUUUGGGGAGCUGUACGUAAGCUAUGAUCCAGAGAUUUCCGAAUGGGGGAACCCAGCAUCUUUUAUAGGAUGUUACGUUUGCGUGAAUACAUAGCGCAUUCGAGGUAGACGCAGAGAACUGAAACAUCUAAGUACCUGCAGGAAGAGAAAGAAAAUUCGAUUCCCUGAGUAGCGGCGAGCGAAACGGGAAAAGCCCAAACCAAUGAGCUUGCUCAUUGGGGUUGUAGGACUCCAAUAUGGUAGUUCUUUCAGAUAGUCGAAUGACUUGGGAAAGUCAGUCAAAGAGGGUAAAAACCCCGUAGAUGAAAUUUGGAAGGCACCUAGGAGGAUCCUGAGUACGGCGGAAC
Molecule: ribosomal RNA, 422 nt
Filed under: Enterococcus hirae
Lineage: Bacteria; Bacillati; Bacillota; Bacilli; Lactobacillales; Enterococcaceae
Description: partial 23S ribosomal RNA
Rfam family: Bacterial large subunit ribosomal RNA
Source: RNAcentral